Molecule: ribosomal RNA, 301 nt
Filed under: uncultured bacterium
Lineage: Bacteria
Description: partial 16S ribosomal RNA
Rfam family: Bacterial small subunit ribosomal RNA
Source: RNAcentral
CAGCAGCCGCGGUAACACGUAGGUGGCAAGCGUUGUCCGGAAUUAUUGGGCGUAAAGGGCUCGCAGGCGGUUUCUUAAGUCUGAUGUGAAAGCCCCCGGCUCAACCGGGGAGGGUCAUUGGAAACUGGGAAACUUGAGUGCAGAAGAGGAGAGUGGAAUUCCACGUGUAGCGGUGAAAUGCGUAGAGAUGUGGAGGAACACCAGUGGCGAGGGCGACUCUCUGGUCUGUAACUGACGCUGAGGAGCGAAAGCGUGGGGAGCGAACAGGAUUAGAUACCCCCGUAGUCCCUGUCUCUUAUAC